RNAcentral lists this long non-coding RNA (346 nucleotides) under Lupinus angustifolius (narrow-leaved blue lupine). RNAcentral describes it as "long non-coding RNA (LANG_LNC003107)". The record is from RNAcentral. Lineage: Eukaryota; Viridiplantae; Streptophyta; Magnoliopsida; Fabales; Fabaceae.
UAAUAGACAAAGAGUCAACAUUGAUUGCUUACCCUCUUUCCAUUUCGAUAGAUAACAGAAGCAGUACAAGUGACCGCUACCGAUUCUCGUCUCGGAGUUAGAAGAAAGAUACAAUACGAGUUUUAACCCCGCUAUUAAAUCCCAAAAAAUACUUAAAACUCCCUUUGUUUUUAUUUUUAUUUUUAAAUGACUUACACAUUUUUAAAGAUAGAGAAUUAAUAAAUGAAGAGUCGACAUGGGUCAUUAAUCAUCUUCUCACUUCGAUAAAUAACAGGAGCAGUACAAAUGACCACAACCGAUACUUGGUUCAAAGUAAGAAGUAAGAUAUGACACGAGUCGUAACCUC